ACGUGAAUACCCUCGGAAAACUAAAAAUAACCCACAAUAAAUAAUAAUGCCGGAAAGGGUUUAUGGCCCAAACAUUUUCCUGCCAGGGGAUGGGACGGCGCCCUAUCACUUUGUUGGGGGGUUAAUGCCCCACCAAGGCAAUAACAGGUACGGCUUCUAAAAGAAUUACCCCGAAAAUGGUUACUGAAACACGCACCCAGCCCUUAUGGGGCCCACCAGGCAAAAAAAUUUUGCAUUGUGCAAAACCCCAACAAGGUUAAUCCAAUUGUUUUGUGCUAAACAAACUUUUUGUCGUCCCAAAAACCACCAAUAAAUAAGGGGGGGGCAAUUUCUGUUGCCACCCCCCGCGAAAAACCCACCCCCUCAGGUGGUCAGAAUAAUUAUUGGCCCUAAACCUUCCUUACCCGCUUCUGUAAUUUUUCGGUUAAUUCUGUCCCCUCAACGAACAGGCUGCCGGAAAUACUGCAAAGCUAGGGAGUGGAAAAGGUAAACGGUCCUCGGAAGGAAGGGUAAAAAUCCUUUAAUUUAUUGAUAACCACCUGGGGCGAAGGCGUCCUACAAAACCCCCCCCAACGGUGAGGAAUAAAAGCUGGGGAACCAAACCGAAUUAAAUACCCGGUUAGCCCCAGUUGUAAACUAUGCAAACUCAUUGAUGCAUUGGUUUGUGACCAAUGCAUUGCUGCAGG
This 686-nucleotide ribosomal RNA is filed under the name uncultured crenarchaeote. Its description in RNAcentral is "partial 16S ribosomal RNA". It matches the Rfam family "Archaeal small subunit ribosomal RNA", at positions 120 to 807 of the family's 1478-position model. The record is from RNAcentral. Lineage: Archaea; Thermoproteati; Thermoproteota.